CUUGACAUCCCGAGAAUCUCCUGGAAACAGGAGAGUGCCUUUCGGGGAACUCGGAGACAGGUGCUGCAUGGCUGUCGUCAGCUCGUGUCGUGAGAUGUUGGGUUAAGUCCCGCAACGAGCGCAACCCUUGUCUUAAUUGCCAUCAUUAAGUUGGGCACUUUAAAGAAACUGCCGGUGUUAAACCGGAGGAAGUGGGGAUGACGUCAAGUCCUCAUGGCCUUUAUGCCCAGGGCUACACACGUGCUACAAUGGGUGGUACAAAGAGACGCAAGCUCGCGAGAGCAAGCAAACCUCAAAAAGCCAUCCUCAGUUCGGAUUGGAGUCUGCAACUCGACUCCAUGAAGUUGGAAUCGCUAGUAAUCGCGGAUCGGCAUGCCGCGGUCGAAUACGUUCCGGCCUU
Molecule: ribosomal RNA, 400 nt
Filed under: uncultured Syntrophus sp.
Lineage: Bacteria; Pseudomonadati; Thermodesulfobacteriota; Syntrophia; Syntrophales; Syntrophaceae
Description: bacterial SSU rRNA
Rfam family: Bacterial small subunit ribosomal RNA
Source: RNAcentral